GCCUAAUUAGCUCAAUUGGUAGAGUUACUGUUUUGUAAGCAGUGUGUUGUCAGUUCAAUUCUGGCAUUAGGCA
This 73-nucleotide transfer RNA is filed under the name Malawimonas californiana (nom. ined.). Its description in RNAcentral is "Malawimonas californiana tRNA-Thr". It matches the Rfam family "tRNA". Rfam says of the family: Transfer RNA (tRNA) molecules are approximately 80 nucleotides in length. Their secondary structure includes four short double-helical elements and three loops (D, anti-codon, and T loops). Further hydrogen bonds mediate the characteristic L-shaped molecular structure. tRNAs have two regions of fundamental functional importance: the anti-codon, which is responsible for specific mRNA codon recognition, and the 3' end, to which the tRNAs corresponding amino acid is attached (by aminoacyl-tRNA synthetases). tRNAs cope with the degeneracy of the genetic code in two manners: having more than one tRNA (with a specific anti-codon) for a particular amino acid; and 'wobble' base-pairing, i.e. permitting non-standard base-pairing at the 3rd anti-codon position. Lineage: Eukaryota; Malawimonada; Malawimonadea; Malawimonadida; Malawimonadidae. The record is from RNAcentral.